RNAcentral lists this unclassified non-coding RNA (394 nucleotides) under soil metagenome. Its description in RNAcentral is "partial contains 5.8S ribosomal RNA, internal transcribed spacer 2, and large subunit ribosomal RNA". The stretch from base 1 to 120 matches the Rfam family "5.8S ribosomal RNA", at positions 35 to 154 of the family's 154-position model. The record is from RNAcentral.
GAUGAAGAACGUAGCGAAUUGCGAUAAGAAAUGUGAAUUGCAGAUACUCGUGAAUCAUUGAAUUUUUGAACGCACAUUGCGCCCUUGAGCAUUCUCAGGGGCAUGCCUGUUUGAGCGUCAUUUCCUUCUCAAAAGAUAAUUUAUUAUUUUUUGGUUGUGGGCGAUACUCAGGGUUAGCUUGAAAUUGGAGACUGUUUCAGUCUUUUUUAAUUCAACACUUAGCUUCUUUGGAGACGCUGUUCUCGCUGUGAUGUAUUUAUGGAUUUAUUCGUUUUACUUUACAAGGGAAAUGGUAACGUACCUUAGGCAAAGGGUUGCUUUUAAUAUUCAUCAAGUUUGACCUCAAAUCAGGUAGGAUUACCCGCUGAACUUAAGCAUAUCAAUAAGCGGAGGA